Molecule: transfer RNA, 74 nt
Filed under: Chloroflexia bacterium
Lineage: Bacteria; Bacillati; Chloroflexota; Chloroflexia
Also listed under: 1 other name
Description: tRNA-Val
Rfam family: tRNA
About the family: Transfer RNA (tRNA) molecules are approximately 80 nucleotides in length. Their secondary structure includes four short double-helical elements and three loops (D, anti-codon, and T loops).
Source: RNAcentral
GGGCGCGUAGCUCAGCUGGUUAGAGCGCACGGUUCACAUCCGUGAGGUCACUGGUUCGAGUCCAGUCGUGCCCA